GAAGCUGUGUAGCAGUCCUCUCUCAUUCUCCUUGAAGUUUACACUGAAAUGUACAUACAAAUGUCUGAUUUGGAUGUAGAGGAAAUGUAAUGUAGGCUGUUGUUGAAAUGAUGUGUGUUAUGGUGAUUUUUCUGCAAGUAUACUUUUAGAUGCAACUCACUGUCAAGUUGCUGUUACGUGUUUUUGCUACUGCUGCUUUUUUGCAACAUUUUUUUGUUAUUAAAUGGCAAAGAGGAUAGAGCAGUUUUCAUUCAGCGUAGCAGCUCUGAGGUGUCAGGUAGUGACUGGCUCAUCAUAUGACAACAGGGACAACAAUUUGAUUCUAAACAAGGAAAUCUGUGACGUAUCCCCCUCUUUUUCUCUCCUUACAUUCACAUCAGUAUGUUGAAUAUGGCUUCAACUAACAAUUUUAAGCAUCAGUUGUAAAUAAUGUUUUUCGGCCACAACCUAAACGUUCAGUUUACUGUCAUAGAGGAACACAAAACCCAGAAAAUGUUCAAAUUUAAGAAACUGAAAUGAGAGAAGUUACUUUUUAUCUUUAAAAAAAUUACUUAUCCUAAUAAUCAA
Amphiprion ocellaris (clown anemonefish) is the source of this 567-nucleotide long non-coding RNA. RefSeq lists it as uncharacterized. The transcript is spliced from 2 exons. The record is from RefSeq and is a predicted model, not a curated record. Lineage: Eukaryota; Metazoa; Chordata; Actinopteri; Pomacentridae.